RNAcentral lists this transfer RNA (73 nucleotides) under Stegodyphus mimosarum. It matches the Rfam family "tRNA". Rfam says of the family: Transfer RNA (tRNA) molecules are approximately 80 nucleotides in length. Their secondary structure includes four short double-helical elements and three loops (D, anti-codon, and T loops). Lineage: Eukaryota; Metazoa; Arthropoda; Arachnida; Araneae; Eresidae. The record is from Rfam by way of RNAcentral.
GCCUUCGUGGUGCAGUGGUCAGCACACUCGACGCGUAUUCGAGAGGUCCGUGGUUCGAAUCCCGGAGAGUGCA